This 248-nucleotide ribosomal RNA is filed under the name Salmonella enterica subsp. enterica serovar Typhimurium. RNAcentral's name for it is "partial 23S ribosomal RNA". It matches the Rfam family "Bacterial large subunit ribosomal RNA", at positions 1644 to 1874 of the family's 2925-position model. Lineage: Bacteria; Pseudomonadati; Pseudomonadota; Gammaproteobacteria; Enterobacterales; Enterobacteriaceae. The record is from RNAcentral.
GUACCCCAAACCGACACAGGUGGUCAGGUAGAGAAUACCAAGGCGCUUGAGAGAACUCGGGUGAAGGAACUAGGCAAAAUGGUGCCGUAACUUCGGGAGAAGGCACGCUGACACGUAGGUGAAGUGAUUUACUCAUGGAGCUGAAGUCAGUCGAAGAUACCAGCUGGCUGCAACUGUUUAUUAAAAACACAGCACUGUGCAAACACGAAAGUGGACGUAUACGGUGUGACGCCUGCCCGGUGCCGGAA